RNAcentral lists this unclassified non-coding RNA (230 nucleotides) under Solicoccozyma aeria. Its description in RNAcentral is "partial internal transcribed spacer 2". The record is from RNAcentral. RNAcentral also lists the same sequence under 1 other name. Lineage: Eukaryota; Fungi; Basidiomycota; Tremellomycetes; Filobasidiales; Piskurozymaceae.
AAAUAUCAACCUUGACUUGGGUUUUGUGCUCUAGUCUCGGCUUGGAAUUGGGUGCUUGCCGCUUUUACGAGCGGCUCACCUUAAAUGUAUUAGCUGGAUCUGUCUUUGAGACUUGGUUUGACUUGGCGUAAUAAGUAUUUCGCUAAGGACAUUCUUCGGAGUGGCCUCGUUUCUAGGACGCUUGUCCGCUUUCCAAUACAAGUUCCACCUCGUGGACAUGACUUUUUAUU